CCUACGGGUGGCUGCAGUGGGGAAUAUUGCACAAUGGGGGAAACUCUGAUGCAGCGACGCCGCGUGAGUGAAGACGUCUUUCGGUAUUUAAAGCUCUAUUAGCAGGGAAGAAAAUGACGGUACCUGUUUAAGAAGCCACGGCUAACUACGUUCCAGCAGCCGCGGUAAGACGGAGGGGGCAAGCGUUAUCCGGAUUUACUGGGUGUAAAGGGAGCGUAGUCGGAAGGACAAGUCUGUAGUGAAAUGCCGGGGCUUAACCCCGGAAUUGCAUUGGAAACUGUGCAGCUAGAGUGCAGGAGAGGUAAGUGGAAUUCCUGGUGUAGCGGUGAAAUGCGUAGAUAUUAGGAGGAACACCGGUGGCGAAGGCGGCUUACUGGACUGCAACUGACGUUGAGGCACGAAAGCGUGGGGAGCAAACAGGAUUAGAUACCCUGGUAGUC
Molecule: ribosomal RNA, 440 nt
Filed under: uncultured bacterium
Lineage: Bacteria
Description: partial 16S ribosomal RNA
Rfam family: Bacterial small subunit ribosomal RNA
Source: RNAcentral